CCUACGGGAGGCUGCAGUCGAGAAUCAUUCACAAUGGGGGAAACCCUGAUGGUGCGACGUCGCGUGGGGGAAUGAAGGUCUUCGGAUUGUACACCCCUGUCAUGUGGGCGCAAAUUAAAAAGAUAGUACCACAAGAGGAAGAGACGGCUAACUCUGUGCCAGCAGCCGCGGUAAUACAGAGGUCUCAAGCGUUGUUCGGAAUCACUGGGCGUAAAGCGUGCGUAGGCUGUUUCGUAAGUCGUGUGUGAAAGGCGCGGGCUCAACCCGCGGACGGCACAUGAUACUGCGAGACUAGAGUAAUGGAGGGGGAACCGGAAUUCUCGGUGGAGCAGUGAAAUGCGUAGAUAUCGAGAGGAACACUCGUGGCGAAGGCGGGUUCCUGGACAUUAACUGACGCUGAGGCACGAAGGCCAGGGGAGCGAAAGGGAUUAGAUACCCGAGUAGUC
RNAcentral lists this ribosomal RNA (446 nucleotides) under uncultured bacterium. Its description in RNAcentral is "partial 16S ribosomal RNA". It matches the Rfam family "Bacterial small subunit ribosomal RNA", at positions 338 to 795 of the family's 1533-position model. The record is from RNAcentral.